RNAcentral lists this ribosomal RNA (132 nucleotides) under Lobophytum pauciflorum. RNAcentral describes it as "partial 16S large subunit ribosomal RNA". The record is from RNAcentral. Lineage: Eukaryota; Metazoa; Cnidaria; Anthozoa; Malacalcyonacea; Alcyoniidae.
GGAAUGGUCUCAGCGAUGCUCGACUAUAUUGGCCCCAUCGACGUAAUUAACUUCUGGCUGCUGCAAAGAAGGAGAACAAAAGGUUUAGGGAUUAAGUCAGGUGUCAUGUGGGUGCAUAGCCCCUGGCAUAUU